Molecule: long non-coding RNA, 404 nt
Filed under: Carica papaya (papaya)
Lineage: Eukaryota; Viridiplantae; Streptophyta; Magnoliopsida; Brassicales; Caricaceae
Description: long non-coding RNA (CPAP_LNC008127)
Source: RNAcentral
AUGCAGGAAGAACACCCACAUAAGCAGGUAUAGGAAGCAUGCACCAUACACAUGGGAAGAGUGCAGCAGCGCGCGCGCACAUCACUCAGAUACGUGCAGGCAGGGGAGCAUUUGUGGCUUGGGAUGCCUCAUGCCCCAAGAGUGCGCAUGUGUGCACACGCUUAACAGGACAUUCAUUGGGUUGCACAUGCAUGGGAGGAUGCUGCUGUAUGCACACAGACAUCACAAUCAUGCAGGAAGCUUCCCCGCAUACACCGCGCAUGCUUGUAGCAAGAGCGCGCACCUGGGCAGCCUACCCACAUGUCUAUGAGUCCUACUUGGAUCUUCAAUAUGUUUUCUUUUUCCAACCUACUUCCUACUGAAAAUUCCACCCAUAUUCUAAAGGAUUUCAAGCAUAAAAGAGG